AUCUAUUUCAUCUCGUCAGCACCUAUAAACUCUGCCUCUAACUGUAGCUCCAGAGACACUAGUUCCCAGAGUUCCCCUCAGACUCCCACCGGCUACGAGAUGCCCGUCUUCCCUUCGCCGCUUGGAGAUGAUUGUAUUCGGAUCCCCUACGGCACCAAGCUAUCCCUCUACAUAUCUAAAGACUCUGAAGUCUCACAGAAAGAAUGACAAAAAACAGACAGCGAGAAAUGGUGGCAUGAGGAGUCUAUGGGAAAAAGAUGAACAGUGGAGAGAAACAGAAGUGAAUGAGAUAGAGAGGUGGGAGAGGAAAUCAAUAGACAGACUGAGACAGAUACAUAGA
Long non-coding RNA from Sinocyclocheilus rhinocerous, 340 nucleotides. RefSeq lists it as uncharacterized. NCBI's taxonomy places the organism in Eukaryota, Metazoa, Chordata, Actinopteri, Cypriniformes, Cyprinidae. The record is from RefSeq and is a predicted model, not a curated record. The transcript has 3 exons.